CCCUUCCCUCCUCCGCCACAUCUCCCAAAUCCUUAUCUCCUCCGUCUCUUCCUCCACCUCCUUUGAACUUAUCUGCGGCGUCCCCUACACCGCUCUCCCUAUCGCCACUUGCGUCUCCCUAUCUAAUAACAUCCCCAUGGUCAUGCGCCGCAAGGAGGUUAAAGACUAUGGUACUGCCAAGGCCAUUGAAGGCGUCUUCCACUCCGGCCAAACUUGCCUUAUUGUCGAGGAUC
Molecule: unclassified non-coding RNA, 233 nt
Filed under: Hevea brasiliensis (rubber tree)
Lineage: Eukaryota; Viridiplantae; Streptophyta; Magnoliopsida; Malpighiales; Euphorbiaceae
Source: RNAcentral